GGAAAAGUGCCUGAAUUAAAGGAUCACUUUGAUAGAGCGAAUAAUGAGUGUUAAAACCACUCCUUUUCCU
This 70-nucleotide transfer RNA is filed under the name Urogymnus granulatus (mangrove whipray). RNAcentral describes it as "tRNA-Ile". It matches the Rfam family "tRNA". Rfam says of the family: Transfer RNA (tRNA) molecules are approximately 80 nucleotides in length. Their secondary structure includes four short double-helical elements and three loops (D, anti-codon, and T loops). Lineage: Eukaryota; Metazoa; Chordata; Chondrichthyes; Myliobatiformes; Dasyatidae. The record is from RNAcentral.